Molecule: long non-coding RNA, 200 nt
Filed under: Panax ginseng (ginseng)
Lineage: Eukaryota; Viridiplantae; Streptophyta; Magnoliopsida; Apiales; Araliaceae
Description: long non-coding RNA (PGIN_LNC003866)
Source: RNAcentral
UAAAACAAUAAACAGAAACUAUUAUGAAGUUAUACUUCAUUGAUGCCUCAAAGUUGAGACCACUUCACAAGAAGAUAAAACAGCUAUCAGGAACAAAGUAACAACCAAAUGCAAAAUCAAACUGAGAGACCCAAAUCGGAAGGAUUAAUGGAUUAUGGACCAAAGUAACAACCAAAUGCAAAAUCAAACUGAGAGACCCA